Molecule: ribosomal RNA, 447 nt
Filed under: uncultured bacterium
Lineage: Bacteria
Description: partial 16S ribosomal RNA
Rfam family: Bacterial small subunit ribosomal RNA
Source: RNAcentral
AACGAACGCUGGCGGCAGGCCUAACACAUGCAAGUCGAACGCCCCGCAAGGGGAGUGGCAGACGGGUGAGUAACACGUGGGAACGUACCCUUUGGUUCGGAAUAACUUGGGGAAACUCAAGCUAAUACCGGAUAAGCCCUUAUGGGGAAAGGUUUACUGCCGAAGGAUCGGCCCGCGUCUGAUUAGCUAGUUGGUGAGGUAACGGCUCACCAAGGCGACGAUCAGUAGCUGGUCUGAGAGGAUGAUCAGCCACACUGGGACUGAGACACGGCCCAGACUCCUACGGGAGGCAGCAGUGGGGAAUAUUGGACAAUGGGGGCAACCCUGAUCCAGCCAUGCCGCGUGAGUGAUGAAGGCCUUAGGGUUGUAAAGCUCUUUUACCCGGGACGAUAAUGACUGUACCGGGAGAAUAAGCCCCGGCUAACUUCGUGCCAGCCGCCGCCGUAA